RNAcentral lists this non-coding RNA (92 nucleotides) under Paraburkholderia ginsengiterrae. The record is from RNAcentral. Lineage: Bacteria; Pseudomonadati; Pseudomonadota; Betaproteobacteria; Burkholderiales; Burkholderiaceae.
UCCAAUGGGCGGGCCGUGGUGGGGGAGCCGCAAGGCUCGCCGGCUCGUUAGAACACCGGUCUGUCAACCCUACUUCGUGCCCGCUCACCCCC